Manduca sexta (tobacco hornworm) is the source of this 7827-nucleotide long non-coding RNA. RefSeq lists it as uncharacterized. The transcript is spliced from 2 exons. The record is from RefSeq and is a predicted model, not a curated record. NCBI's taxonomy places the organism in Eukaryota, Metazoa, Arthropoda, Insecta, Lepidoptera, Sphingidae.
GUUACCCAGAUUAAAGCCGAAACAAAAUGUAUGAAAAUGGACCUUGAGGUAUCGCCUUAAAGAAGUCAUAAAAUAAGUCAGCAGUCAGCUGUUUAUACAGUUAAUAUUAAUGUGUUCUUUAUAAAUUUUCUUAUUUAUAGUAUUACGUAGAAGUAAGAUAGCUUCCAUUCAAUUCUCCUUUUCAAAUCUUUUAUAAGCACAUAUACUACAUAAUACAUGCGUUAAUUAGUUCGCUAAGCAUAUUUUUCCGCAGAAAUUCAAUUUACAAUAGAAUUUAAUUCAUAUUUACGGAUUAUUUGUGGGUGAUUAUGUUCAGCAAUGUGUAUUUUUAUGUAAUGCUAACGUAUACUCGUAUGUAACAAAAAAGUUGUUAACUAUGCUAGAGAAUACCUAUGACAGUGUCUUAUAUCAUGUCUUACUUAUGGGUAAAGAAAUAAAAGGUACAUAGCUAUAUAAUAAAUGUAUUUUAUAAGGAAAUGCUGUGUGAUUCUGAACUUCACUUCAAAUUUACUAUCAUUCAGAAAAUAGCACAAAACCAAUUUGUUUUUGAUAUUUUUUUAACAUAUAUAGCCUGAUUCUACACUAAAACAAAUAUAUAUAUGUUAGUCUGUAAUGGGACCGAACUUUAAAAUAGUUUAUAGUACAUAUGCUACAAACUAUAUAUUAUUUUUAGCCCGUUUCAUAACUACCGUGAAAGGCGUCCAGUUGCUGCUAAUGAAUGGGUACACGUACAGCAAGAGCGGGCGACUGCGGCUCGGAGGCUAUAGAUUCGCCUGCUCCAAUACUGUAUCAAGGCACUGCAGAGCGCAUAUACAUAUGGAUAUACAUUUUGCCAUAAUCAAAGCGGAUACAGAGCAUAACCACGCACCUCGAAGUUUUUAUGUCACGAAUGAGGGAUUGUAUUAUAUUAAAAAGAAUAAGUUGGCGUAGAUUUUUGUGCAAUGGGAAUACUACCGUGCUUAUCUCGAAAGCGGUAUGUCAAAAAAAAUCUAAAUCUUGAUUUUUAUGUCGUCAGAUAGCUUAAAGAAAUACCUAUCCAAUGAACUUACCCAAAUAACGGUAUCUUGUUAAGAACUUGGUAAAAAACCUUACAAAACUAUAAAACUAUAUUUAAAAAGCUGCAAUUAUCUCGAAAUAAGGUUUCCCUGACAUACCGCUUUUGUGCUUAGCACGGAAGAAUAGAUGGCUUAGAAGUAAGAGCUUAACAAAAUUUAUGAAGCGCUGCAAGAUAGAUAUGUUAAGUCUUAAAAUUAUAACCCUGUUAUUGGCAUUAAGAUAAGCUUACGAAAUCUUUAUGUAUUCGUUUGUGAUUAUAAGUAUUAUAGUAGUUAAUUAACAAUUAUUUCGAAUUAAAUCAUCUUAAUUAAUGUCAUUAAUUUUUUUUUGUAUUCUGACCUGCAUAAGCGCCUCUAAUUGUCUCUUAAGUUAUAGCGUAAUGAGUCUGGAAACCAGUAAUAGUAGGUAGGUAAUUUGAUGUAUCAUUACUUAUAUUGUAUAACCUUUUCAGUAUCUAUAAACACAUGAAUCCGAUCUCUGCGCACAGGCGUUUUAAUCCACAUUAUCUAUUCCAGUGUGGCAGAUACGUGAAGACGUCACAAGGAGUAACCCUGCUGCUCAUGGACGGUUUUGUGUACAGCAAAAAUAGCAAGAUUCGAAACGGAGGCCUUCGUUUCGCGUGCACCAGUAGGAUCACGCAGCGGUGCGGAGCGUACGUGCAUAUGUCGAAGGAUGACGUCAUCACGAAGGUGCAAGGAGAUCAUACUCAUGAACGGGCGUCGUAUCAUUUCACCAACGAGGGACAUUUUGUGAAACAUCGGAGUAAGAAUCCAGAGCCGACUAGUAUUAUGCUAGGGUCGUGAGGUUGAAAUCGUUCCUGAUUGUGCAUAAUCUGUAAGGACUUUCAUACGUCCACGACAAAGUGACCCCACUGUACCUGAUGGUAAGUGGAGUGGGGUCCAAUAGAAUGUCGACUGACGAGAGAUGAUUACCCCUCGGCAGUCGACACAAUUAUGCCGGCCUGUUGGAUCCGGAUGUACACAGGCUGAUUCCGGAAUGCGACACACUUACGUGGACCACCAUGGCGUGUUUUAACACCUUGUGUACGGAUGUCUCAAACCGGACGGAUAUAAAAUAUAUGCUACCACCAGCAAACUACCGAUGUCUUAUGCCGGUUUCCAAUCACAAGAUAUAGUUAGAGCUUUAUGAAUAUCUACAGUAGCUAAAUUAUUUGAUAAUUUACAUCUGAUUGUAAAAUCGAUCCUUAAGAAAAACAAUUUUCCAAAAUCAUUUAUUUUAGGAUUAUUUUUUACUGAUAAAGACAUUGAAUGAUGUGAUAUAUAAUUGAAUUUGCACAUCAUCAUCAUAUAGCACCUUGUUGAAGUGAACCAGCUAUAUUAUAUCAACUAGUCUCUGGACAUAAUAAUGUACUACAGAGACUCCACACUGUUUGGACUUAAAUAAAAUUAUGAUAUAUCAUAAUGCCUUGUAUUCACACUGAAUUUAAAAUCUUUCUAAUUGGAACAUUAUAGUGUUUAUUGGUGCUUAGCGACAGAAAUAAGCAAAAAGAUUGUGAAAUCAAUGAUUUUUCUAUUUCUUUAUGUUAUUACAGUUAUGUGACCCAGGUUAAUCUUCCUUAUACGUUUUAAUAAUACUCGGUCAGGGAAGCGGCUUUAUAUUGUUCUAUUUGAAUCUAAAAUUGAUUUGAUCUAUUUGUACAACAAACUGAAAUAUUGCAAAGCAAAUAAAUAUGUUUUUACUCUGAAUGGAAACUGUGAUUCAUGAUUCAUUUCCAUAAUUUAAUUCCAAUCUUUUGUUUUUAAUUUGCUCGAGUUUCAAGAAAGAAUUCAUAACCCAUGAAGCAAUGACAUUUUGCAAAAACAUCUUGAUUUUUAUCUACAAAUUACUUUAAUUACAAUUUUUUAUGGAUUUAAAAGAUCUUAACACCAGUGUUAUAUCAGGGUAUCUUGGUGGAUGUGUUCUGACUGAGCCCAUCAGUCAGAACAAGUACAUAUACUAAAACGGUAUUUUCGCCGUAUAUGGUGUGGUCGCCAUACAGUGGACCAUCAUGAAUGGGUAAUAUAUUUAGUUGUGGAAGAGUUAAAUAUAUUUUACUACUAACGUGGUGCAUAACACAAUAACUAAAUGUGAAGCUUUAAAUUAAUAUAGUUCGUUUCUUUUAUAAGUCAUUCAAUAAAUUGCAUGAAUGCACUCCUUUAGUUUUAUUCAGAAAUAAAUAAUUAACUUUUACUAUUGCCUAAGUAGGCAAACGAGCAAAAACUCCGCCUGAUGGUAAGAAGCACCCGCAACCCAUGGACUUAAGCAAUGCCAAAGGCACAGCCAAUCCGCUGCCUAUCGGAAAGUCUGUAUUGUUAUAUAAACUGAAGAGUUUAUUUGUAAAAACUAUGCCUUCAUUCCAAAAUGGGGGCUACGCAGAAUUUACGUGGGCGGAGUGGACAUUAUUCAAAUGUACCAAGAAAAGUAAUAAAAAUUACCGAUAUUAUGUCGCGUCACAUUCAAAGCAAAUUUGUUAAAACACUAAACGUGGCAUGUUUCCAGCAUCGUACGUCAGCAUGGCAAAUGGAAGCCAAUUAUUGCUGUACAAUGGAUUUGUGUUCAGUAAAAACGGUAAGGUCCGAGACGGAGGCACGAGAUACGCAUGCGCUAACCGACUCUCCCGUAACUGUCUUGCGUACCUCCACGUCUCGAAGAAUGAUGUUAUCAUGAAGGUCAAUGAAGAACAUACCCACAAGCCGCCAUCGUACAGCUUUACGGAAGAAGGAUAUUUUGUCAAGAAACCUAAUCGGGAAAUUGGAGAUGGCACUCAUAUAUAAUAUGUGUAUUUGGUGAUUUGGAAGAGCCUGUACGAUACUGGAUAUCUCAUUGAUGAUGCUGCUGAUAUUUCAAGACUGUCAUGAAUUACUGAUAGUAAUAUAUUUAUUGGUAUUCUUGUAAAUUUCGUUUUAAUUCAAUAAAAUUCAUUCGUACAGAUUCAGUUCCGGUUAUAAUAUAGGUACUUAAUAGGUUAGGGGAGUUUGCUUGUAGCUUUUAUAAUCCCCUUUUUUAUAAGUAGGUAAUCUCCGAUUUUUUAAUUAUACAAUAGUAUCGUUUAGAAGUUAUAUGUAUCAUAAAUUUAAAUAGCUUUGUUAAAAUGUAUGAACUCACUCUAUCUCAAUAAAAAAACACUAUAAACAAUGAACAUAAGGAACUUGGAGUUGUAUUUGUAUGACAAUCCGAAUAUGACUUUUCUGAAUGAGAUUUAUAGCAAGACAAAUGCUUUUUAUGGAAACAGUAGUGAUCUUACUCCUUCGCUUGACACGACACACAAAUGUGAAAUGAAAUGAAGAACUCUUAAGAUGUAUUAAAAUUAUAAAUCAUAAUUUGAACACAAUUUCUACUCAGUGUCAGCCCUGAGUCUUAAUUGUGCUUGGUAUGGCAAUAGGCUUGCUUCUAUCACAUUAUGGAACGGAAUACACAUGAUGUAAAGUAGAUGUCAUGUCAGCACCACUGUCUACCCCUUCGAAGAUGAAAGUGUGAUGUUCGUGCCUGUGAUCACAAUUUAUUAUGGUGGAAUCUUUCCCAACUAGUGGUAGAGUAAAAAUUUUACUGAAUUAUUAUUUUUUUAACAUUUUACAAAUAAAGAUCAUAUUUCAUUAAUUAUAUAGAAACUUAACUUUAAAACUAAGCGCGAGGAAAAAUUGACGCGCGUGAAAAAGUUGUCAAAGUGAUCGAUACGUCUACUGUGAUGAAAACUGUCUGUUCUGUAAUAAUUGGGCGCUGUGUCUAGCUGUUGGCUGACCACGCCCUUAAUCAAUGUUGUAUCGUAGGUACAACAUAUGACAUACACUGCGUCGAUUCUUAAUGUGUACUGGAUUUAAUAAUUGAAUUACUUUGGGUCUCGGCUGGUUCACGUAAUAGGUCUUCCUAAAUAUCUCUCAGGAUAUAUUAAAAUAUGCGAACUUUCACGCAUCCAUCGAUGAGUAAAAGCAUUUUCUGAUUAUUGUGUAUAAAGACAGCAAUGUAUAUCAAUUGGUAUUUUUAUUAAUUACCAAAUUUAAUAAGUUGUUACUUACAGGCAGGUUGUUACCUGCUCUCUUAGAAUGUUCCAAAAACGCAACUCGUAAGUCAAUGUCGUUUAAUUUUGAUGUUUAUGAUUGAUCGAAAGACUAAGACGCCAGCCAUGUAUUAGUCUCAACCAAUCAAAAUAAAACGACAUGGAGUCUUGUCGUGUUUUUUUGCCACAUUCUAAGCAGACUAAUAAUCUAUUUCAGCAUCAUACGUCAAAACCCUGAACGGCAGCAAGCUGUUACUAUUCAACGGUUAUGUGUUUAGUAGAAACGCGAAGAUACGAGAUGGGGGUAUUAGGUUCGCGUGCGCCAAUCGCUUGUCCAGGACCUGCCAUGCCUACGUCCACAUGUCGAAGGAUGAUGUUAUCAUAAAAGUUCAUGAUGUUCAUACACACGAACCUCCGUCUUAUACCUUUACCUCUGAUGGAUAUUUCAUAAAGACUUUAGAGCCGAGACCGAUAGUGGAUUGACAAAGAAUUAGUUGCAAGCAUUUAGUUUGCUAUCUUUAAGUCUUGGUGUUAACAGUUAAAAGUGCAAGAGGACGCUGAAAUUAUAUAGAAAUACGUUUUACUUAAUGGAUUGACACAGUUAAAGAAGUCCUACUUGGGUGAAUAAAGUGUAAUAGGGAAGUUUUCUGUGUUUAAUUAUAUAUAUAUACAUUAUUUGGUAUGUAGCAAAAAGUGAUUCAAUAAAAAAAUCUUAUAUAAAAUCAGUCCCAAAAUAGGUUAAAAAUAAAGCAGUGGUUCAUAUUUGAAAUAUUGUGAGUAAAAGUGAGGGCGUGAUGGGGUUAUCGGGGUAUCUCUUUCUCACGCACGUUGCCUUAUGGCCGGUGGCAUUAAGUGACGUCACAGUUUGUUAUUACUGUUUUUGACAGCUCCCCCUUCCACUAAAUUUCAAAGCUUUAUAAUUGGUUUAUUAUUGUGUGGAUUAAGAAAUCUUUUUCUGUUACAUUUUGGAUGAUAUACAUUUUUAAUAAUGUAUUUAAAAAAAGCAGUCAACUACCCUAUUAAUGUUGGCGCGAAAUCGGAUAAAGGAAUCUGAAGGUCUGUAAUUGCACUACUAUCUUAUUGCAAUGACUUUACAGAUACUGAUCAUGUAUAGAAAUUCUCGUGAAUAUGACUCAAUCUUAUACUGUCUUUAUUUAAACGCAAAAUAUUUUUUUCUUAGCUUUACCUUAAAAAUAAUCAACUCGGUAUUAACAUGUUGAAUGUUCAGAAAUUGCGCAUUCUUCCAAAACAUCCUAGAACGAAGCGAAGAUAAAUGAUGAUGCUUUUAUUAUUAAUUAAAUGUUAUUUUUAUAUUAAUAUUGAAAUGUUAACGUUGAUUUAAUAUUAUACAAAUUUCUAACGCUUGUAUGUUUGUUGUUUUAUUUUACUACUGUUAUCUCUAUUUUAACGAUUUCCAGUUUCACAGAAUUUCAUUUAAUAACCCUUCUAUAUAUUAUUACUAAUUGCUAAGUAACAAUUUAUAUAUGCUAUAUGUGUUACUAGCUAGUAUCUAGUUGAUAAUUGUUAGGCCUGAAACACGCUAACAUUUCAUAGGCAAAGUUUAGAAAAGCUACCAGGCAUUUGGAUAGAUAAGUGACCAGACCCUCAUCUAUAAAUUAAUCUAUAAAUGAAAUUUAAAGCUAAUUUUUUCAACAUAAGUAACCAUUUACCUUGUAUUAACAAGCCAGCGAAACGUGGACACUACAAACGCGUAGAGAAUGCUCAUAUCAAAAACUUACGUUAUUGACGCGUUUAAAAUGAAUCUUGUGCAUAGACUAUGUUUGCGCAGUCGGCAUUAGGCUGAUAACUUUAAGUCUCUAGAAUGCUGGACCCUUUGAAACAACAUAAUAUCUACAUGUCGUACUUAUAAUAUGACUUAUUGUCUCAAAUUACGACUCGCAAUACGUUAUAUAAACUAUCGUAGAUAAGUAAUUAUUAAAAUAUAUUCUCAUAACUAUAGUAUUUGCCAAUGUGUUUUUUAAUUUAUAGGUGUUUUUUUUUUCAGCAAAAUUCAUCACAUUGACAAACGGCAAAAACCUAUUGAUGGUAGACGGGUAUACCUUCCACAGAAAUGGUGCCAAAAGAGAAGGGGGGUGCGAUGGUUCUGCUCCUCCCGAUACAGAGAACGUUGCAAAGUGACCAUCGUACUGAACGAAAGUGAUUUCAAAGUGCGCAAAAUGUCCCAGAAACAUAAUCAUUUCCGCCCUAGUUUUGUCAGAGUUGGAGAAAACUAUAUCAAAACGUAAGGGCAUUUUCACUCAUAGACGAUAACAUACUAUGUUUCAUUCGCGGCCCCAAUUGUACCACUGCACCUGCAGGCAAGUGGUGUGGAACAGGUAAAAUAUCGAUUAACGAAUGACACUCUUAGGUCAGUACCUCAAAGUAAAAAACCUUCCUUUUAAGAAUACAUUGGGCUAUUCUGUGAAGACCAAGAACAAAGAAACUUAAAAUAUGAACCUCUUUAUCAUGAGGAAAGGUGGAUGACAACACAGCAACGAAAAAGAGCUGAUUCACCAAAUAUUAGAUUUUGUUAAGUCUAUAAUAAAUAACCUCUUUUACUGCGUUUUCGCUGGUAAACACUAUACUGUAUAUUUUGAACUUUUUAUCCUUCAGUAAGUCCACUGCACCAUAUUAUGUCUUACAUGCCACUGUCUCUUUAUGUGGAUUCUAUUAAUUACCAUUACCAGCCGUCUAUAUUUAUUUAGUUCUCCUAUUCACUCAAUGUUACUGUAACUAAAAUAUUUGAAAUCUUGAUAUUAUAAAUAUACUAUAGUAUC